Long non-coding RNA from Lates calcarifer (barramundi perch), 540 nucleotides. RefSeq lists it as uncharacterized. The record is from RefSeq and is a predicted model, not a curated record. Lineage: Eukaryota; Metazoa; Chordata; Actinopteri; Centropomidae. The transcript is spliced from 3 exons.
CCCACAUCAGCGUUCUGAUUGGUCGAGCUGAAACCCACCUGAGCCUGGCAUCGGUGGUGGAGGAGGAGGAGGAGGUGGGGCCGGCAUGCCUGGAGCUCCACCCAUCCCUGGUCCCAUGCUGUGGUUGUUUGAGAGUCUCCACUUAGCUUUCUUUGUCCUGAGGAAACAUCUGGCCUUACCUGGGGGACAGGUUAGGACAGGGUGGAGGUGAGGGGGAGGCAGAGUCUGCCACCCCCCCAUCCCCCUCCCCUCUCUGGGGUUGAGGAGCCCCAGGGCCUCCAGCCUGCUGCGCCUCCUGAGCCUGACGCUCCAGACGACUCUGACGCCGGAUCGUCUGGUCCUUCUCCCGAACCAUCCGCCGCAGGGUGUGCACCUGAGAGUUGGCGCUUGCAUACACCUCCUGCACAGGUUUUCACAUGGUUUCCAUGGUAACAGCACUGACCCGGAGUUGGUCCAACUCCUUGUUGGUUUGCAUCAGUUGUUUCUCCAGUUCAACGAUCUUCAGCAUCGCUUCGUUCUCCACAUCCAGCAGACGCUCUG